GUGUCAGCAGCCGCGGUAAUACGGAGGGUGCAAACGUUGCUCGGAAUUAUUGGGCGUAAAGCGCACGUAGGCGGCCGAACAAGUUGGAUGUGAAAUCCCUGGGCUCAACCCAGGAAGUGCAUCCAAAACUGGUCGGCUUGAAUGUCGGAGGGGGUCAGAGAAUUCCCGGUGUAGAGGUGAAAUUCGUAGAUAUCGGGAGGAAUACCAGUGGCGAAGGCGCUGACCUGGACGAACAUUGACGCUGAGGUGCGAAAGCGUGGGUAGCAAACAGGAUUAGAUACCCGAGUAGUCC
This 292-nucleotide ribosomal RNA is filed under the name uncultured bacterium. RNAcentral describes it as "partial 16S ribosomal RNA". It matches the Rfam family "Bacterial small subunit ribosomal RNA", at positions 505 to 796 of the family's 1533-position model. The record is from RNAcentral.